Molecule: ribosomal RNA, 274 nt
Filed under: uncultured bacterium
Lineage: Bacteria
Description: partial 16S ribosomal RNA
Rfam family: Bacterial small subunit ribosomal RNA
Source: RNAcentral
AUACGUAGGGGGCAAGCGUUGUCCGGAUUUACUGGGUAUAAAGGGAGCGCAGGCGGAUUCGUAAGUCAGGGGUGAAAUCCUACAGCUUAACUGUAGAACUGCCUUUGAUACUGCGAGUCUAGAGAUCGGAAGAGAGAGAUGGAAUUCCAGGUGUAGUGGUGAAAUACGUAGAUAUCUGGAAGAACACCAAUGGCGAAGGCAGUCUCUUGGUCCGUAUCUGACGCUGAGGCUCGAAAGCGUGGGGAGCAAACAGGAUUAGAAACCCCAGUAGUCC